Molecule: small RNA, 539 nt
Filed under: Pan troglodytes (chimpanzee)
Lineage: Eukaryota; Metazoa; Chordata; Mammalia; Primates; Hominidae
Description: retained intron
Source: RNAcentral
CUUUGCACCUAACAUGCAGGUGAGGCAGAGAGGAGCAGCUGCUUUGAACAGAGAGCUCCAACUUCAGAUUUAAUCUCAGUGUGCUGAUUCUGUUUCUUGUGUUCAGGAGACUCCUGGAUACAGAGGAUGAGCUCAGUGACAUUCAGUCAGAUGCUGUGCCUUCUGAGGUCCGAGACUGGCUGGCCUCCACCUUCACGCGGCAGAUGGGGAUGAUGCUCAGGAGGAGCGACGAGAAGCCCCGGUUCAAGAGCAUCGUUCACGCAGUGCAGGCUGGGAUAUUUGUGGAGAGAAUGUAUAGACGGACAUCAAACAUGGUUGGACUGAGCUAUCCACCAGCUGUUAUUGAGGCAUUAAAGGAUGUGGACAAGUGGUCCUUUGACGUCUUUUCCCUCAAUGAGGCCAGUGGGGAUCAUGCACUGAAAUUUAUUUUCUAUGAACUACUCACACGCUAUGAUCUGAUCAGCCGUUUCAAGAUCCCCAUUUCUGCACUUGUCUCAUUUGUGGAGGCCCUGGAAGUGGGAUACAGCAAGCACAAAAAU